Molecule: ribosomal RNA, 462 nt
Filed under: uncultured Caldisericales bacterium
Lineage: Bacteria; Pseudomonadati; Caldisericota; Caldisericia; Caldisericales
Description: bacterial SSU rRNA
Rfam family: Bacterial small subunit ribosomal RNA
Source: RNAcentral
CAGCGAGGCAUGUGGUUUAAUUCGAGGCUACACGAAGAACCUUACCUGGGCUUGACAUGUUGCUGAAAGAUCUAAGAAACUAGAUCCUUUUUCAUAGCAAUAUGAAACAGUUUCACAGGUGGUGCAUGGUUGUCGUCAGCUCGUGCCGUGAGGUGUAAGGUUAAGUCCUUGAACGAGCGCAACCCACGUCGUUAUUUGCCACGGAGCAAUCCAGCUACUAUAACGAUACCGCCGGCGACGAGCCGGAGGAAGGCGUGGACGACGUCAAAUCAUCACGCCCCUUAUGUCCAGGGCUACACACAUGCGACAAUGGUCGGAACAAUGAGUUGCCAAGCAGUAAUGCGGAGCUAAUCUCCAAAGCCGGCCUCAGUACAGAUCGAGGGUUGCAACCCACCCUCGUGAAGAUGGAGUUGCUAGUAAACGCAAGUCAGCUAUAUUGCGUUGAAUACGUUCCCGGGUAUU